UACGGGGGGAGCAAGCGUUGUUCGGAUUUACUGGGCGUAAAGGGCGCGUAGGCGGCCAGCACAAGUCAGUUGUGAAAUCUCCGAGCUUAACUCGGAAAGGUCAACUGAUACUGUGCGGCUAGAGUGCGGAGGGGGCAACUGGAAUUCUUGGUGUAGCGGUGAAAUGCGUAGAUAUCAAGAGGAACACCUGCGGCGAAGGCGGGUUGCUGGGCCGACACUGACGCUGAGGCGCGAAAGCUAGGGGAGCGAACGGG
This 254-nucleotide ribosomal RNA is filed under the name uncultured bacterium. RNAcentral's name for it is "partial 16S ribosomal RNA". It matches the Rfam family "Bacterial small subunit ribosomal RNA", at positions 524 to 776 of the family's 1533-position model. The record is from RNAcentral.